This 458-nucleotide ribosomal RNA is filed under the name uncultured bacterium. Its description in RNAcentral is "partial 16S ribosomal RNA". It matches the Rfam family "Bacterial small subunit ribosomal RNA", at positions 338 to 795 of the family's 1533-position model. The record is from RNAcentral.
CCUACGGGGGGCAGCAGUGAGGAAUAUUGGUCAAUGGGCGAGAGCCUGAACCAGCCAAGUCGCGUGAGGGAGUACUGCCCUAUGGGUUGUAAACCUCUUUUGUCGGGGAGCAAAAGCCGGACGUGUCCGGCUGUGAGAGUACCCGAAGAAAAAGCAUCGGCUAACUCCGUGCCAGCAGCCGCGGUAAUACGGAGGAUGCGAGCGUUAUCCGGAUUUAUUGGGUUUAAAGGGUGCGCAGGCGGGUUUUUAAGUCAGCGGUAAAAUCGUGGGGCUCAACCCCAUCCAGUCGUUGAAACUGGGGAUCUAGAGUGUGCGAGAGGUAUGCGGAAUGCGUGGUGUAGCGGUGAAAUGCAUAGAUAUCACGCAGAACCCCGAUUGCGAAGGCAGCAUACCGGUGCACAACUGACGCUCAGGCACGAAAGCGUGGGUAUCGAACAGGAUUAGAUACCCGUGUAGUC